CAAAUUUGGUUUUUAAUAGCAUAGUGGUAUAGCGUUUUCUGCGGAAGUGCUAUGGUAGUUUAUUUUCCGUCUCUACUAACUAAUUAUGAUGCUUAUAAAACGCUAUCGAAUAUAUCUACAUUAUACGGGAAUAUAUUUGACUUAAUUUCUCAAAAAUAAAAACCUAACCACGACCAAAUUCCUAAGAGUUUAUUCACAUUUAUACUGCCACUAUAAACCCCACUAUCACCACCGGCAACCAUAGUGGAGCAAUACACCCCACUAUCACCACCGGCAACCUCUCAAAAGCCCUCUCCAAUCUGGGGUUUUCUCCAAUUCCUUGAUGAGAAAUCGCGUCGCGGUCAAACGACACCGUCUGAUUGUUGAUUUUAGGCUCGAUGAUCUCUAAAUAUGGUUUAUGCCAUCAGAACGAAAUCCCAUUACGGACUGGGCAAAAUCACGGACAGAUAAGAAGCCUAUUUCCUUCGCUACUCGUAGUAUUUAACAACCAGUAUAUUUGGCGUGGUGGUAAGCCAAACAACAUUUUGCGGUACUUGAUUCAUUCCCUCAAUCCUCCUUCCUGGUUGUACAUAUCAAUGGUGUGAUGGAUUAAGUGUUAAAUGUUGCCAGGUGACCAUCCACAUAUUGCAGUAGACUACUCAAACGAGAGAGAAAUGUAUUCAUAAGAAAUGAAUAAGGAGGAAGGAAAUCGAGGAAGCAGAGGAAUGAAAAACGAUGUGACGGUCUCAGCUGGAUGAUCAUAUUUAAUUGUCGCAUAUUAAGUUGUUUCUGGAGUUAUUUCAUUCGUCUUUACUUUUCAAGUUUAGGAAUUUUUUAACCUUAUGAAUCGUGUCGAAAAAUGGUAAGACAUUGUCUUGCUCGAAAUUCAAAUAGAUAUUUAUGGAUCAUCUUUUUGUCGUAAUACAUAUCAUUUUGAGUAUAUAAUUUUUUUAUAUAUUCA
This is a non-coding RNA of Erythranthe guttata (spotted monkey flower), 940 nucleotides long. Lineage: Eukaryota; Viridiplantae; Streptophyta; Magnoliopsida; Lamiales; Phrymaceae. The record is from RefSeq and is a predicted model, not a curated record.